CGAAUAGAAGCCCGCUGGCUAGGGCAGUUAGCUGUUAAUUAAAUUUUCGUGGGAUCAAGGCCCGCCUAUUCAU
This 73-nucleotide transfer RNA is filed under the name Anolis brevirostris. RNAcentral's name for it is "tRNA-Asx". It matches the Rfam family "tRNA". From Rfam's summary of the family: Transfer RNA (tRNA) molecules are approximately 80 nucleotides in length. Lineage: Eukaryota; Metazoa; Chordata; Lepidosauria; Squamata; Anolidae. RNAcentral also lists the same sequence under 1 other name. The record is from RNAcentral.